AGUUAAAUACCUCAUGAAUAGUUUAAUGAGGUAUUUAUCUAGAUAAAUGCCUCAUUAAACUAUUCAUGAGGUAUUUAAUACAUAAUUAUU
This is a non-coding RNA of Paramuricea clavata, 90 nucleotides long. Lineage: Eukaryota; Metazoa; Cnidaria; Anthozoa; Malacalcyonacea; Plexauridae. The record is from the annotation of a GenBank genome assembly.